CCGGCGAUGUCCGAAUGGGGAAACCCAGUGCAAUUCGUUGCACUAUCGUUAACUGAAUACAUAGGUUAACGAGGCGAACCGGGGGAACUGAAACAUCUAAGUACCCCGAGGAAAAGAAAUCAACCGAGAUUCCCCCAGUAGCGGCGAGCGAACGGGGAGCAGCCCAGAGUCUGAAUCAGCUUGUGUGUUAGUGGAACGGUCUGGAAAGUCCGACGGUACAGGGUGAUAGUCCCGUACACCAAAAUGCACAGGUUGUGAACUCGAAGAGUAGGGCGGGACACGUGGUAUCCUGUCUGAAUAUGGGGGGACCAUCCUCCAAGGCUAAAUACUCCUGACUGACCGAUAGUGAACCAGUACCGUGAGGGAAAGGCGAAAAGAACCCCGGCGAGGGGAGUGAAAAAGAACCUGAAACCGUGUACGUACAAGCAGUGGGAGCACCUUCGGGUGUGACUGCGUACCUUUUGUAUAAUGGGUCAGCGACUUAUAUUCUGUAGCAAGGUUAACCGUAUAGGGGAGCCGCAGGGAAACCGAGUCUUAACUGGGCGUUAAGUUGCAGGGUAUAGACCCGAAACCCGGUGAUCUAGCCAUGGGCAGGUUGAAGGUUGGGUAACACUAACUGGAGGACCGAACCGACUAAUGUUGAAAAAUUAGCGGAUGACUUGUGGCUGGGGGUGAAAGGCCAAUCAAACCGGGAGAUAGCUGGUUCUCCCCGAAAGCUAUUUAGGUAGCGCCUCGUGAACUCAUCUUCGGGGGUAGAGCACUGUUUCGGCUAGGGGGUCAUCCCGACUUACCAACCCGAUGCAAACUACGAAUACCGAAGAAUGUUAUCACGGGAGACACACGGCGGGUGCUAACGUCCGUCGUGAAGAGGGAAACAACCCAGACCGCCAGCUAAGGUCCCAAAGUCAUGGUUAAGUGGGAAACGAUGUGGGAAGGCACAGACAGCCAGGAUGUUGGCUUAGAAGCAGCCAUCAUUUAAAGAAAGCGUAAUAGCUCACUGGUCGAGUCGGCCUGCGCGGAAGAUGUAACGGGGCUAAACCAUGCACCGAAGCUGCGGCAGCGACACUAUGUGUUGUUGGGUAGGGGAGCGUUCUGUAAGCCUGCGAAGGUGUGCUGUGAGGCAUGCUGGAGGUAUCAGAAGUGCGAAUGCUGACAUAAGUAACGAUAAAGCGGGUGAAAAGCCCGCUCGCCGGAAGACCAAGGGUUCCUGUCCAACGUUAAUCGGGGCAGGGUGAGUCGACCCCUAAGGCGAGGCCGAAAGGCGUAGUCGAUGGGAAACAGGUUAAUAUUCCUGUACUUGGUGUUACUGCGAAGGGGGGACGGAGAAGGCUAUGUUAGCCGGGCGACGGUUGUCCCGGUUUAAGCAUGUAGGCUGGUUAUCCAGGCAAAUCCGGAUAAUCAAGGCUGAGGUGUGAUGACGAGGCACUACGGUGCUGAAGUAACAAAUGCCCUGCUUCCAGGAAAAGCCUCUAAGCAUCAGGUAACAUCAAAUCGUACCCCAAACCGACACAGGUGGUCAGGUAGAGAAUACCAAGGCGCUUGAGAGAACUCGGGUGAAGGAACUAGGCAAAAUGGUGCCGUAACUUCGGGAGAAGGCACGCUGGUGUGUAGGUGAAGUCCCUGCGGAUGGAGCUGAGACCAGUCGAAGAUACCAGCUGGCUGCAACUGUUUAUUAAAAACACAGCACUGUGCAAACACGAAAGUGGACGUAUACGGUGUGACGCCUGCCCGGUGCCGGAAGGUUAAUUGAUGGGGUUAUCCGUAAGGAGAAGCUCUUGAUCGAAGCCCCGGUAAACGGCGGCCGUAACUAUAACGGUCCUAAGGUAGCGAAAUUCCUUGUCGGGUAAGUUCCGACCUGCACGAAUGGCGUAAUGAUGGCCAGGCUGUCUCCACCCGAGACUCAGUGAAAUUGAACUCGCUGUGAAGAUGCAGUGUACCCGCGGCAAGACGGAAAGACCCCGUGAACCUUUACUAUAGCUUGACACUGAACAUUGAGCCUUGAUGUGUAGGAUAGGUGGGAGGCUUUGAAGCGUGGACGCCAGUCUGCGUGGAGCCAACCUUGAAAUACCACCCUUUAAUGUUUGAUGUUCUAACGUUGGCCCCUGACCGGGGUUGCGGACAGUGUCUGGUGGGUAGUUUGACUGGGGCGGUCUCCUCCCAAAGCGUAACGGAGGAGCACGAAGGUUAGCUAAUCCUGGUCGGACAUCAGGAGGUUAGUGCAAUGGCAUAAGCUAGCUUGACUGCGAGCGUGACGGCGCGAGCAGGUGCGAAAGCAGGUCAUAGUGAUCCGGUGGUUCUGAAUGGAAGGGCCAUCGCUCAACGGAUAAAAGGUACUCCGGGGAUAACAGGCUGAUACCGCCCAAGAGUUCAUAUCGACGGCGGUGUUUGGCACCUCGAUGUCGGCUCAUCACAUCCUGGGGCUGAAGUAGGUCCCAAGGGUAUGGCUGUUCGCCAUUUAAAGUGGUACGCGAGCUGGGUUUAGAACGUCGUGAGACAGUUCGGUCCCUAUCUGCCGUGGGCGCUGGAGAAUUGAGGGGGGCUGCUCCUAGUACGAGAGGACCGGAGUGGACGCAUCACUGGUGUUCGGGUUGUCAUGCCAAUGGCACUGCCCGGUAGCUAAAUGCGGAAGAGAUAAGUGCUGAAAGCAUCUAAGCACGAAACUUGCCCCGAGAUGAGUUCUCCCUGAGACU
This 2690-nucleotide ribosomal RNA is filed under the name Klebsiella pneumoniae. RNAcentral's name for it is "partial 23S ribosomal RNA". It matches the Rfam family "Bacterial large subunit ribosomal RNA". Lineage: Bacteria; Pseudomonadati; Pseudomonadota; Gammaproteobacteria; Enterobacterales; Enterobacteriaceae. RNAcentral also lists the same sequence under 1 other name. The record is from RNAcentral.